GUCUGAGAUUUAGGGAACAUUCCAGAAUUCUCUUGUCAGUUCCCCAACAUCAGGCUUACCUAGAGUCAGUCAUUUAACUCACACAAUCGUCCAGUGUUGAGUGUGUUGUGUUUGAACACGAGCUAGUCGGCUGCUGAAGUUUGUCAUCACACGGAGCAUCAGACGACCAGCUCACGCGGACUAGUUUGUUCUGGUCACCCAAUCUUUAAAGCAUCAAGUACUCAAAGAUCAUGUAUCAGAGCAGCUAUUUAUUCAUUUUAACCGCGACUAUUGCCGCUGUCAGCCUUGUGACGUCAGACUGUCCUGGGGUCACAGAGUGCACUGUUCCAUCACCGACCUUGACACAGUCUGAAUACUGCCCGUAAGCCAAAGUUUACCUGGCGUGUCUGCAAGCCGUGGCAUCUAACGCCGACUGCAACUUCGUGUCCAAGACGGCGGCCAACACCUUGAUCACUGGCACUGAGGUCACCAUGAAGGCUAAGGACUGCUCAGGUGCUGUUGCUGUGCUGCCCUCACUCGUGCUCUGUGUCUGGCUCAGUCUGGUGAUCACGUGGUUCAACGGCAAGACAAGUGUUUAAACACACAGUUGGUCUAAUGUGUUUAAACACAGUUUGUCUGCAAGUGUUUAAACACAGUUGGUCUGCAAGUGUUUAAACACACAGUUGUUAUACAUGUGUUUAAACACACAGUUGACCUACAUGCGUUUAAAUCGAUUAAAUGUUUUCACUUCAAUAUUUUCUAGUUCAUAAAUUUCCACCAUUGUAACGUUACCUCACAUCACAAAUGUACAGUUACAGAAUUCGUUUCAUUUACAUUUUAUUCAAGAAAAAAAUUUCAUAAAU
This is an RNA transcript of Physella acuta, 842 nucleotides long. RefSeq lists it as uncharacterized. The record is from RefSeq and is a predicted model, not a curated record. NCBI's taxonomy places the organism in Eukaryota, Metazoa, Mollusca, Gastropoda, Physidae.